CCCUAAUCAAUCAGUCCGUAACGCUUCUACAUCUACAGCUGCGGGGUUGUGAUGACGCAACAUGACCGAGUUAAUCACGUGACUUGCCCGGCCACGUGACCGCCUCCGCCCAUGGACGACGUCAAAAUGGAGAACCGUGACUCUAAAGAACCUGAGCAGCUGAGAAAGCUCUUUAUUGGAGGUUUGAGCUUUGAAACCACAGAGGAGAGUUUACGGGCACAUUUUGAGCAAUGGGGAUCUCUCACAGAUUGUGUGGUAAUGAGGGAUCCCAACAGCAAGCGAUCAAGAGGGUUUGGCUUCGUAACAUACACUAAUGUAAAUGAAGUCGAUGAUGCCAUGAAAGCCAGGCCUCAUAAAGUAGAUGGCCGGGUAGUUGAACCCAAACGGGCUGUGUCCAGAGAGGACUCCAACAAACCAGGAGCACAUUUGACAGUGAAGAAGAUUUUUGUAGGUGGUAUCAAGGAGGACACGGAGGAGGAUCACAUUCGGGACUAUUUUGAGAAAUAUGGAAAGAUUGAAUGCAUUGACAUCAUGGAAGAGCGGUCCACCGGGAAGAAGAGAGGUUUCUGCUUCGUGUCGUUUGAUGACCAUGACACUGUGGACAAAAUUGUCGCACAGAAAUACCACAUAAUCAACUUCCACAACUGUGAAGUCAGGAAAGCUCUGUCAAAACAGGAAAUGAAUGCUAUAUCCAGUAAUCGAGGCAGGAGUGGAGGAUCAGGAAAUUUCAUGGGCAGAGGUGGUAAUUUCGGAGGUGGUGGUGGCGGCAGCGGUGGCGGCAACUUUGGCCGAGGUGGCUAUAGCGGAGGACGUGGCGGUUAUGGUGAUGAUUAUGACAAUGGUCCAGGAGGAAAUUACGGAGGUGGUGGCGGCAGCGGCCAAGGCUACGGAGGCGGCCGUGGGGGUUAUGGAGGCGGUGGUGGUCCAGGAUACGGCAACCAGGGCGGAGGAUUUGGUGGCAACUGUGAUGGAGGUUAUGGAGGCAAUAGUGGAGGAGGAUAUGGAGGUGGUGGAAAUUACAAUGACUUUGGAAAUUAUAGUGGGCAGCAGUCAAACUACGGACCCAUGAAAGGAAAUAACUUUGGUGGGAGAAACUCUGGUGGACCCUAUGGUGGGGGCUACAGCUCUGGCAGUGGCAGUGGAGGCUAUGGCUCCCGGCGGUAUUGAUUAUGAUCACGUUUUGGCUUCAGUUCUUAGCAGGAGAGGCCAGGAGGUGAGCAAAGGAAAUGUCAGGAAAGCUGCAGGUUACUUUGAGGCAGUCAUCUGAAAGCAUUAGAGGAACACAGAAGUCAGACAUUACUGCAGCUAAAUCGGAGAAUUUUAUGGAAGAAGGACUGUGUGAACAAGACAUGAGUGCAGUUGAUGCCCUUUCUUAAUUGUGAUAGAUGUUACCCUAUUGAGGAAGCUUUCCUUUUUUUUCUGAAGUGUGUGUAUUGUGCCUAUGGUAUCAGGGUAAAGAUUAAUUUGAUUUUAUUUUCAUUUUUCUUUUUACUCAAGUUAGUCCUAAAUUUUUGGGUCUUUACUUUUUUUUUAAUAUAUAUAUACAUAUAUGAGUUAGCUUUGUGCUGCCCCAUCAGUCUUUAACUUGGUUGUUGUCAAAUAGCAUCGUUGUAUCACGCCCUUAGGUAAUCUAGAAAUACCUUGCUAGUUUCUUCUUUUUGAAGUUAUUAUGAUUUCGUGACUGCAAGUGUAAAGUGUAUGUUGAUUUUGUAUGUAAAGAACAGUCUGUAAGUGUCAUAUAUAAACAGCUUGGAUUAGAAAUAAGGGAAUCCCUCACUUCUUCCUGUUCCCGCCAAACCAAAUUCUAGAUUGUUCAAAUAUUUUGAUUAGAAGGAAAAGAUGGAAUAAAAUUGUUUAGUAAAGUAACAUGAAGUUCAGUGCAUCAUUGGUUCAGAAAAGGAUGAAAUGAGUGACCAGUUAAUCAUUGUGACACCUGGGUAGCACAUCAGCCUGUUCUGCGCUUCCCCAACUGUGCCAGUGUUAUAAAUACAUUAUAGUGUGUAUUUGUAUGUACAUGUUUUCUUGUAUGUAACUACUUAUACCAUGGUCAAUCCAAAGGGAGUUCUGGGUAGUCCUAGAGAAUGGCUCGGGUGCAACAUAAGCCAGUGUUGAACCUGUAGGAUUACGAAAGCCGCGAACCCCUGCAGCGUCGCUAGUGUGGAAGAUGGCUGUCAGACAGGACGCCUUCAGCCCCAGGACAGUGGACCAGUCAGCAUUGUGAGAGAGAAGGGACAAGGCAGAAGGCAGCGUGGAGCGCAUCGCCCUGGGAGGAAGCUUGCAGUGUCGUGCCUGAUAAUGUGGAAGUGGGCUUUCUGCAUCUUUGCUGAAAAUCUGUAAAGACCUGAUAACAUGGAGGGUUCUGGAUGGGUAAGACUUCUUUGAAAUAUUAUCCAAAGGCUGCAUUUUGUGAUUUAAUGAUGCACUUUGUGACCAUACAAGGUGCAAGACCAAAAAAAAAAAACAAAACAAAGUGUGCUCCGAGGUGCGGAUGAUGACAGGAUGAUGCCCAGUACUUGUUCUCUUUCACCAGAAGAAGUCUUCAUUCAACUUUUGAACCCUGUUUACGAGGUUUUCGCUUUUUAUUAUCCUGGUUGACAGCAAAUACAUUCAGGUACAGUUCUUAGUGAUGAAAUACAGAACGGAAAAGAAGAUUUGUAUAUUAAAAUCAACAAAACGUCAAUUUCUUCAUUACUUUCUUCCUGCUGUUUGUCAAUUCUUUUACGAAUAGUGAGUAAGUCCCACUAUUCCCUAAACCUUAAAAAAUAAAUACACAAUUCCUGGUAAAACUAAUCAAAGCAACCUAAUGUAUGGUGGUUGUUUUUUUUUUUAAAUAUAGUCAUUUCAUUAUAUUAAGUCAUGUGAAAAAGACAUGAUCAUCUCUAAAUUAUGACCUUGUCCUUACCAGGUUUUAAAUUAGUAUCUACAACCUCAGAUGAACACUGAUGCCAAGUCAUUGCUUUUAUAAUAAAAGAACAACCAAAAUGCAUUUUAAACCUGCAACACGCUGUGAGUGUUGUAACUUAGGGCUUACAAAGAAGUUAUAAAUGUCAGCAAGGGAUUUGCAAAUACGUCCCUCUGUACAUUUUUAUUCUAUUUAAGGAAUCUGCAGGAAUAAAACUAAGCUGCACACUGGUGGUCUCUGAUUGAAAACAGUGGAGGAUUAUAGUGGGAAACGUUUAAGAACUUAAUUAUAGAGACUGACACUGAAAACUUGACUGUUCAUAAAAGAAUAUGUUAACUUUAUCCAGAAGUGUUGUCAGCAUCUCUGGGCUCAGAGGCAUCAGGGAUGUAUGUGACACAGUGGAAAUGUAUUUUUUGUACCCAUCUUUUUCUCACUUGUGGUUGUAAGUAGGAUUUGAGUCAAGUAGUAUCCUAAUAUGUAGAAACACAUUAAUCCUCAUCAUUCCAUCGCAUCACUUGACAGGAAUCAGGAGAAUAAUGAAAACACACUCAUCUCCGGGAAUCCUCCACAGGCUGCUCAGUGAAUUGGUUCAGACUGUAUUUCUUAUAAAAGUGCUGAUAUUUGUUGCUUUUUACACUAAACUAACAGUGUUUUAAGCUUUUGUACACAAAUCCAAGGUGCUUAGACUGUGAAACAGAGCAAGGGAAGUAAAACUUGGAAAAAGAGAAGUGAUGUACUUUUUUUUCUUAGUUUUUUUUCAUGCUGUUCAAGAGUGAUACAUAAGUAUGUUAAAUGUCCCUCCUGCUACAGAAACUGGAACUUGCAGCAUUAGUGGAUUCACAUCAAUGAACGUCACUCAGAUUGUGUAACUUUGACAUUUAUGACUUUUUCAUUAAAUAUUUUUCACUAACAGGGACGAUUAGAGUAUUUUAUCAAAAGGUUGACAAAAGACAGCCAAUGUCUUACAAGUGUGUCAAAUGUAAGUCUGGAAAUAUGCAUUAAAUAUCAUAGGUUGAGAGGUUUAAUGAACAUUUUUCAUUAAAUGUUUUUUUUUUUAAAUGUAGGUCAGUAUUUCUUUGAUUGGGCACCGAUACGCUUCAUGAGAGUUCACUGGUAUCAUUCAACUGUUUGGGUCAAAUGCAUGAUGUGCCAAGUGUGUUGUGUUUUUUUAAAAUAAAUUGUUUUUUUUCUUUAAAUCUA
Molecule: RNA transcript, 4102 nt
Organism: Cololabis saira (Pacific saury)
Lineage: Eukaryota; Metazoa; Chordata; Actinopteri; Beloniformes; Belonidae
Gene: hnrnpa3
Gene name: heterogeneous nuclear ribonucleoprotein A3
Exons: 12
Source: RefSeq, a predicted model, not a curated record